This 467-nucleotide ribosomal RNA is filed under the name uncultured bacterium. RNAcentral describes it as "partial 16S ribosomal RNA". It matches the Rfam family "Bacterial small subunit ribosomal RNA", at positions 28 to 507 of the family's 1533-position model. The record is from RNAcentral.
GAUGAACGCUGGCGGCGCGCCUAACACAUGCAAGUCGAACGAUUAAAGCACCUUCUGGUGUGUAUAAAGUGGCGAACGGCUGAGUAACACGUGGGCAACCUGCCCCUUUCAUUGGGAUAGCUACGGUAAACCGUGGAGAAUACCUAAUACUUCGAGACUUCCGCAUGGAAGACUCGAAAAAGCUCCGGCGGUGGGGGAUGGUCCCGCGUCCUGUCAGCUUGUUGGUGGGGUUACGGCCUACCAAGGCAAUGAUGGGUAGCUGUGAUGAGAGACCGACCAGCCAGAUUGGGACUGAGACACGGCCCAGACUCGUACGGGAGGCAGCAGUGGGGAAUCUUGCACAAUGGGCGCAAGCCUGAUGAAGAGACGCCGCGUGCGGGAUGAAGGCCUUCGGGUUGUAAACCGCUUUCAGCAGGGACGAGGCGAAAGUGACGGUACCUGCAGAAGAAGCCCCGGCUAACUACGUG